GCCGGGAUGGCAGAGGUGGUCAACGCGCGCGUCUGAAAAACGCGUUAUGUCAGUUCGAUUCUGACUCCCGGCACCA
RNAcentral lists this transfer RNA (76 nucleotides) under Candidatus Curtissbacteria bacterium. RNAcentral describes it as "tRNA-Phe". It matches the Rfam family "tRNA". Rfam says of the family: Transfer RNA (tRNA) molecules are approximately 80 nucleotides in length. Their secondary structure includes four short double-helical elements and three loops (D, anti-codon, and T loops). Further hydrogen bonds mediate the characteristic L-shaped molecular structure. tRNAs have two regions of fundamental functional importance: the anti-codon, which is responsible for specific mRNA codon recognition, and the 3' end, to which the tRNAs corresponding amino acid is attached (by aminoacyl-tRNA synthetases). tRNAs cope with the degeneracy of the genetic code in two manners: having more than one tRNA (with a specific anti-codon) for a particular amino acid; and 'wobble' base-pairing, i.e. permitting non-standard base-pairing at the 3rd anti-codon position. Lineage: Bacteria; Candidatus Curtissiibacteriota. The record is from RNAcentral.